Molecule: unclassified non-coding RNA, 310 nt
Filed under: plant metagenome
Description: partial contains 5.8S ribosomal RNA, internal transcribed spacer 2, and large subunit ribosomal RNA
Rfam family: 5.8S ribosomal RNA (bases 1-105)
Source: RNAcentral
GAAAUGCGAUAAGUAGUGUGAAUUGCAGAAUUCAGUGAAUCAUCGAAUCUUUGAACGCACAUUGCGCCCCUUCGUAUUCCAUGGGGCAUGCCUGUUCGAGCGUCAUUUGUACCCUCAAGCUCUGCUUGGUGUUGGGUGUUUGUCCCCGUCUCCGCGCGUGGACUCGCCCCAAAGUGAUUGGCAGCCGGCGUACUGGUCCCGGAGCGCAGCACAUGUCGCGCAAACGAGUGCCUUGGUACGGCGGCGUCCAUAAGCCCCUCUCUCACGCUCUUGACCUCGGAUCAGGUAGGGAUACCCGCUGAACUUAAGC